CGAUCAGCAAUGUGAAGUGCAGAAUUCAGUGAAUUCCUCGAAUCUUUGAACGCACAUUGCGCCCGCCAGUUAUUCUGGCGGCCCUGUCUGUUCGAGCGUCUUUCCAACUCCACAAGCCUAGCUUGCUGUUGUGACUCGCGAGUUAUUAUUGAUGUCCCUACAUAGAUUUUUUGUUCACGAU
RNAcentral lists this ribosomal RNA (181 nucleotides) under Fusarium sp. P1AR1a. RNAcentral's name for it is "partial 28S ribosomal RNA". The stretch from base 1 to 101 matches the Rfam family "5.8S ribosomal RNA", at positions 56 to 154 of the family's 154-position model. From Rfam's summary of the family: 5.8S ribosomal RNA (5.8S rRNA) is a component of the large subunit of the eukaryotic ribosome. It is transcribed by RNA polymerase I as part of the 45S precursor that also contains 18S and 28S rRNA. Functionally, it is thought that 5.8S rRNA may be involved in ribosome translocation. Lineage: Eukaryota; Fungi; Ascomycota; Sordariomycetes; Hypocreales; Nectriaceae. The record is from RNAcentral.